Molecule: unclassified non-coding RNA, 329 nt
Filed under: soil metagenome
Description: partial contains 5.8S ribosomal RNA, internal transcribed spacer 2, and large subunit ribosomal RNA
Rfam family: 5.8S ribosomal RNA (bases 1-120)
Source: RNAcentral
GAUGAAGAACGCAGCGAAAUGCGAUACGUAAUGUGAAUUGCAGAAUUCAGUGAAUCAUCGAGUCUUUGAACGCACAUUGCGCCCCCUGGUAUUCCGGGGGGCAUGCCUGUCCGAGCGUCAUUACAACCCUCAAGCUCAGCUUGGUGUUGGGCCCCGCCGCCCCGGCGGGCCCUAAAGUCAGUGGCGGUGCCGUCCGGCUCCGAGCGUAGUAAUUCUUCUCGCUCUGGAGGUCCGGUCGUGGGCUCGCCAGCAACCCCCAAUUUUUUUCAGGUUGACCUCGGAUCAGGUAGGGAUACCCGCUGAACUUAAGCAUAUCAAUAAGCGGAGGA